AUUGAUACGGCUACUUCUUCAGUUCUUAGUGGUAUAAGUAUCUUAUAUCAUAUGAUAUAGAGAUUAAGUUAUAAUAGUUUCCCUUGCUGGUCACUUCUAGCCAAAAAUCUGACUGGGCAACAAUGAAAUACUAUAGUAUUAAUGAAUGGGUGUUUUUAUAAUGGCCCUGUUAUAUGUCCAAGGUCUGUUAUAAUGGUCGAGGAAGUUUGUAAUGGCCCGAAGCAACGCCGAGGGCCAUUACAGACAUCCGAGGCCAUUAUUACUGACCGAGGACAUAUAACAGAGCCAUUAUAAAAACACCCAUUUCUUAAUACAUUUAUUAACCAACUGAAUAAAAGUGUAUGUGUUAAUAUACCAAAUAUCCAAGAUAUUAAGUUGACAGAAGUUAUGUGUUGAAAAACAGGAGGAACAGUGAUCCCUAUAUAUGGUUCUUUAAUGUUGGUUGCUGGUUACUAAAUUAAAUAAAAUAUAAAAAAGUAUUAUACUCUUUACAACUUAAUUUUAUUAACUUUAUUAAAAACCUAACUGUGCUUUAUACAGACAAACCGGGCAUUAAUACAGGGCCAUUACAGAAAAAACAGGGCCAUUACAGAAAAAACAGGGCCAUUACAGAAAAAACAGGACCAUUACAGAAAAACAGGGCCAUUACAGAAAAACAGGGCCAUUACAGAAAAAAACAGGGCCAUUACAGAAAAUAUGUUAUUUUUAAUAACCAGUCAUUUUUGGCAAUAAUGUACUUAGUUGGUUAAUAAAGUUCAACAUUAUUUAUGAUUAAAUAACUUUUACUAUGUUUUGCUAUUAAACGGAC
Molecule: long non-coding RNA, 808 nt
Filed under: Mytilus galloprovincialis (Mediterranean mussel)
Lineage: Eukaryota; Metazoa; Mollusca; Bivalvia; Mytilida; Mytilidae
Source: RNAcentral